AGUUGCCCAAUAAUUCCUCUGUCUUUCAAUCUGACACUGAAAGCUUCUGGCAUAAUUAUUUGUUCCUGACAUUGCUUCUCUAUGAAAGAGGGUGUUAGUCCUGUCAAACUGCUGCCCAGUGCCCUGAUGGGAGAUCUUAAGCCCCCCAGCUGCUCGGAGAAGCUGUGACACUCUUAGUCCUCAGGUCACCUCCAGAUUCCAGGAGAACAAACUCCUUCAACUCAUGGCAAGUGGGGGAUAGAUGGAGAAGCAGAGGGAAGAAACAUGAUGAACUUGUUUCUAUCCUUUUUACUUGCCUGUGCUCAGGUGCUGAGGCAGGUGGCUGAGGGCAGCUGCCUGGGCUGUACCCAUGCAGUGCUUACACAUGCACCACCCAUUCAAGUCUUGCCUGAGAAGCAGGCUGGCAAAGGUGUAGGCUGCCUGAGGCCAGUGACCAACUUGUUCUGCAUCUGCACAGAACCUCAGAGAACAGAGUAACCUCAACCAUAGCAGUCAUACCAUCAAUGCAUACAUAAUAUUCAUCUUGCAUAUUUUUUUUUUAAUAACGGACAUCUAUUUGGAUUAACCACAUCAUGGAAGUACCUUCCCAGUCCUUCUGUACACAUGCCUUUUAUUUAAUUUCACAGAUAUUAUAUCAAAUUCCCUGCCAUGACAGCCAAAAGGACAUCA
Lepidothrix coronata (blue-crowned manakin) is the source of this 669-nucleotide long non-coding RNA. RefSeq lists it as uncharacterized. Lineage: Eukaryota; Metazoa; Chordata; Aves; Passeriformes; Pipridae. The record is from RefSeq and is a predicted model, not a curated record. The transcript is spliced from 3 exons.